AGAGUUCAGGGGAGGGAAUGAUAGAGGAGGAGGAGGCAGAGGAGGGACAGGGGCUAUGAGGAGGGCCGUCCACAUAAACAAGUUUAGACAACCCCGCCGUUGUGUGUUUACUCACCUCCUUCACACUGCUGGAGGCCUUUGGGAAAUGCUCCUCUCCUGUUAAAGCCUGGUACCUCUUCUCCAGGGAACACAACCUGUCCUGCUCCUGAAAGUUGUGACAAAUUGGGGGCUCGUCCGGGAUACCACCAUUGAGGACGAGCUCACCUUCUGCAGCUGCUGUAGAGCCGCGGUGCGUUCUUUCACCAUCCUCUCGCAGUCCUGAGACGCCUGUAUCCCCAGCUGCCUCACCUGAGCGUCCAACACAGCCACUUUCUCCUGGGAAUUCACGUUUUGUGUUUUCAUGAAGCAAAAACAAAAAGUACAGACACUCACACAUUUAUCCCCACCUUCCUGUUGGCCACACGGUAGUGAAACUCUGCUUGUUCCUGGAGAAGCUGUGAACUCUGAGCCUCCUUCUUCUCCUCCAGCCGGCUCUCCUCCUCCAGCUGACAGAACUCCAGCUCCUCAAACUGCUUGGUGCCAGACUCAAGAGCUUCUGCUUUCUGCUUGUGUACAGAAAUAUGUGACUUAUUCACACAGUUGACAUUUAAAUGAUUUAUUUAUGAUCAACUAGUGAAAUAAAUCAAUAACUAAAAAAACAUCCUAAAAUAUUCAUAUUUUGAAUCCAUAGAUUUGUAGGUUUGUGUGUUUGCAUGAAUCUGCAAAAGAUUUUCUGCCAUCAGAAAAGCUGUAACUCGCCUGUCAUCAUUGCACGAUAGUAUUAAAAGAUGCUGCAGCUAUUUUACAAAUGUGUAACUAUUACCUAAAGGGAUGCUUCAAAAGGUCUGAAAUUCUUUCUAAAAUGUAAACGUUUGACAUUUUAUGCCAGCAACACGUGUCAGAGAAGCUGGAACCAGGAUGAUAAAAACUGGAAAGUUUAGUCAUGUUAAAUAAGCAAUGUAGUAUAACGGGAGUCAGCUGCACAUCUCUGAUUUAAUCGCACAUCCAACCAACAUUCAACUCAUUCAGACAACAAUGGGUUUAUUGUCUAAUUUUCUUAAACUUUAUUAUUUUUUUUUAAUUACUAUCCAUGUUUUUAAGGCCCUAAAUUGGGAAAAAAUGAUCAAAGUUCCAGAAAGAAAAUGUUAAAUGUCUAAGAUCUGCAGCUUUACACUAAAUAUAAAAUUGAUACUGGAAAAAAUUCAAAAUGCAAAAGAAAAAAAAGAAAAA
Molecule: long non-coding RNA, 1269 nt
Organism: Oryzias melastigma (Indian medaka)
Lineage: Eukaryota; Metazoa; Chordata; Actinopteri; Beloniformes; Adrianichthyidae
Exons: 3
Source: RefSeq, a predicted model, not a curated record